GACGAACGCUGGCGGCGUGCCUAAUACAUGCAAGUAGAACGCUGAAGGAGGAGCUUGCUCUUCGGGAUGAGUUGCGAACGGGUGAGUAACGCGUAGGUAACCUGCCUGGUAGCGGGGGAUAACUAUUGGAAACGAUAGCUAAUACCGCAUAACAGUAGAUGUUGCAUGACAUUUACUUAAAAGGUGCAAUUGCAUCACUACCAGAUGGACCUGCGUUGUAUUAGCUAGUUGGUGGGGUAACGGCUCACCAAGGCGACGAUACAUAGCCGACCGGAGAGGGGGGUCGGCCAAACUGGGAAUGAGAAACGGCCCAGAGCCCUGCGGGAGGCAGCAGUAGGGAAUCUUGGGCAAUGGACGGAAGUCUGACCGAGCAAGGACGGGUGAGGGAAGAAGGAUGUCGGAUCGGAAAGCUCUGUUGUAAGAGAAGAACGAGUGUGAGAGUGGAAAGUUCACACUGUGACGGUAUCUUAACAGAAAGGGACGGCUAACUACGUG
Molecule: ribosomal RNA, 495 nt
Filed under: uncultured bacterium
Lineage: Bacteria
Description: partial 16S ribosomal RNA
Rfam family: Bacterial small subunit ribosomal RNA
Source: RNAcentral